Long non-coding RNA from Dryobates pubescens (Downy woodpecker), 737 nucleotides. RefSeq lists it as uncharacterized. The transcript has 4 exons. Lineage: Eukaryota; Metazoa; Chordata; Aves; Piciformes; Picidae. The record is from RefSeq and is a predicted model, not a curated record.
AGAGAGAAAUGUCACCCGGAGUCCCGGCCCGUGGGGGAGAGGUGGCGCGUUAGAGAUGUGUGUGUGAGAGAGAGGGGGAGCGAGACCUCCGCCAGCCCCGCGGACUUGUCAAGCAGAGCAGUUGCCAAGUGAUCUUCCCCACAGCACCCAUGAACUUCAGCCUUGAACUGAAGAGGACUCAUCAGAUGCCUUAGGGGAAACACCAUGGAACUGGAAUAGAAGCAGGGAUCUCCAUGAAGGACAGACAACUACAGUCUUGGUGUGUGGAGGAACAGGUCCUGUUCUCGCUGUUGCUGCUCCCACUUGGGUGGACUCUGUAAUUGAUUAGGUGUGGGUAGGGCCCUAUUGAAAUUGAGGAGAUUCUGCAGUAGUGCAGGGUUCUUUUUGUGACAGUUCAGUUGCAAGAUCAGGACCCUGCAGUGACUCCUUACUGUGAAUUCUGUCAGUGUAUCACUGACUGUGCUGGAACCUGCCUUUUGGGAUAAUGUAAGUCCUGCUUUUCCCCGAGAUGUACUUUAGCCAUGACAUAAUCCUAAAGCAUUGCUCAUUGGAAAACGAAUAUCAUUUACAUGCAUUCUUUUAAUUAUGUUUUUUUUGGCAGUACCAAAUAAUAUAUUCCUCAAAACUUCUUAAUGGCACUGAGGCUUUGUGGAUAGUUGGUCACAUGAUGAGAAAAUUCAGCUGUAAGUACACUGAAAUGAUUGCAUUUUUCACUAGUUAGUCGACUGUUAUUGAUG